Molecule: non-coding RNA, 282 nt
Filed under: uncultured Odoribacter sp.
Lineage: Bacteria; Pseudomonadati; Bacteroidota; Bacteroidia; Bacteroidales; Odoribacteraceae
Source: RNAcentral
UCUUACAUUUUGAACCAAUCCUUUUCCAAAGGAUCUUUCGCCAAUUAAAACAGCUCUAUCGAGGUCUUGGAGAGCUCCGGAAACAAUUUCUGCAGCUGAGGCUGAACCACGAUCUAUUAAAACGACAAGAGGCAUAUCCGGCACUAUGGGAUUUUUACUCGCUACAUAUUCUUUGUCCCACUGUUUUAAUUUUCCUUUUGUGCUGACAACUUUGGAAUUUCGUGGUACAAAAAAGUUUACUAUUUCUACAGCUUGGUCCAUGAGACCUCCACUAUUGCCGCG